Drosophila melanogaster (fruit fly) is the source of this 73-nucleotide small nucleolar RNA. The record is from Ensembl. NCBI's taxonomy places the organism in Eukaryota, Metazoa, Arthropoda, Insecta, Diptera, Drosophilidae.
UGUAAAUGAUGAUUUAUUAUUAUUUGCUACUCUUGAAGGUCAUUGAUGAAUACUUUCACCUUAAAACCUGAUG